Molecule: long non-coding RNA, 158 nt
Organism: Triticum aestivum (bread wheat)
Lineage: Eukaryota; Viridiplantae; Streptophyta; Magnoliopsida; Poales; Poaceae
Exons: 3
Source: RefSeq, a predicted model, not a curated record
GUGCAUAAGUCUGGAAUUGAGAUUCCCAAUAUUCACAUUGUCGAUAACAAGAUCAUGGUGUUUAUUGCUGACUCGCCUUUCAGCAGGCAGUGGAUGCAGAUUUCUUGGGUGUUCAGGAGGGCAGCAGCCUCGAUGCGGCGAUCAAGUCACUCCUUAGC